Molecule: unclassified non-coding RNA, 263 nt
Filed under: Celtis australis
Lineage: Eukaryota; Viridiplantae; Streptophyta; Magnoliopsida; Rosales; Cannabaceae
Description: partial 26S-18S external transcribed spacer
Source: RNAcentral
UUUCCUCCUUUGUGACCUUCGGGUUSCAAGGGGGACACGGUAGCGGCACCUGUGUCCCGAACAUGCCUCGACGCUAUGUUGUGGCUGUCACGGUCCUCGGGUGAUUGCUAGUGCUCUCGGAUUCGGAAUACUACGUGGGUGCGGGGGUCUYUGGCCCCCGAACGCUCGAAAUAGUCCCUUYACACGGAUGACCGUCGUGGCUGCACAAAUUCGUAGCCGAAAGGCACGCGGGUUUGUGCAGUUCACGACGUCCGAAAGGAAUG